GAUGAACGCUAGCGGCAUGCCUAAUACAUGCAAGUCGAGCGCUUAUCGGUAUAUCCUUGCAUCAUACAAGUGAGGGGCGAACGCGUGAGUAGUAUGCGGACUACCUUCUACAGGAGGAGAGCUCUCAGUAACGAGGAUAAGCUAAUACUAAAUAUACCUAAAUGUAUCUUUACGCAAAGAUAGACGCAAGUCGGGCUACGCUGAGCGAGCGACCGGUGGUGCAUUAGUUAGUUGGUGGGGUAAAGGCCUACCAAGCCAAUAAUGCAUAGCCGAGUUGAGAGACUGAUCGGCCACAUUGGGACUGAGACACGGCCCAAACUCCUACGGGAGGCUGCAGUAGGGAAUCUUCCACAAUGGGCGAAAGCCUGAUGGAGCAACGCCGCGUGUGUGAUGAAGGCUUUCGGGUCGUAAAGCACUGUUGUAUGGGAAGAACAGCUAGAAUAGGAAAUGAUUGUAGUUUGACGGUACCAUACCAGAAAGGGACGGCUAAAUACGUG
This 497-nucleotide ribosomal RNA is filed under the name uncultured bacterium. Its description in RNAcentral is "partial 16S ribosomal RNA". It matches the Rfam family "Bacterial small subunit ribosomal RNA", at positions 28 to 507 of the family's 1533-position model. The record is from RNAcentral.